This 64-nucleotide transfer RNA is filed under the name Byrrhus sp. MJTNT-2012. RNAcentral's name for it is "tRNA-Ser". The record is from RNAcentral. Lineage: Eukaryota; Metazoa; Arthropoda; Insecta; Coleoptera; Byrrhidae.
GAAAUAUAUAUAUAAGAAAAAGCUUCUAACUUUAACUUUAGCGAUUUACCCCGUUAAUAUUUCU